GUCGUACGAGCUCUGGUAUAGAUUGGUGCUUGCAUCAUGAUUUACAUUUGAGUGAGUGGCGAACUGGUGAGUAACACGUGGGAAACCUGCCCAGAAGCGGGGGAUAACACCUGGAAACAGAUGCUAAUACCGCAUAACAACUUGGACCGCAUGGUCCGAGUUUGAAAGAUGGCUUCGGCUAUCACUUUUGGAUGGUCCCGCGGCGUAUUAGCUAGAUGGUGGGGUAACGGCUCACCAUGGCAAUGAUACGUAGCCGACCUGAGAGGGUAAUCGGCCACAUUGGGACUGAGACACGGCCCAAACUCCUACGGGAGGCAGCAGUAGGGAAUCUUCCACAAUGGACGAAAGUCUGAUGGAGCAACGCCGCGUGAGUGAAGAAGGGUUUCGGCUCGUAAAACUCUGUUGUUAAAGAAGAACAUAUCUGAGAGUAACUGUUCAGGUAUUGACGGUAUUUAACCAGAAAGCCACGGCUAACUACGUGCCAGCAGCCGCGGUAAUACGUAGGUGGCAAGCGUUGUCCGGAUUUAUUGGGCGUAAAGCGAGCGCAGGCGGUUUUUUAAGUCUGAUGUGAAAGCCUUCGGCUCAACCGAAGAAGUGCAUCGG
This 603-nucleotide ribosomal RNA is filed under the name Lactiplantibacillus plantarum. RNAcentral describes it as "bacterial SSU rRNA". It matches the Rfam family "Bacterial small subunit ribosomal RNA", at positions 61 to 629 of the family's 1533-position model. The record is from RNAcentral. Lineage: Bacteria; Bacillati; Bacillota; Bacilli; Lactobacillales; Lactobacillaceae.